UACGAAGGGGGCUAGCGUUGUUCGGAAUUACUGGGCGUAAAGCGCUCGUAGGCGGACAUUUAAGUCAGGGGUGAAAUCCCAGAGCUCAACUCUGGAACUGCCUUUGAUACUGGGUGUCUUGAGUAUGGAAGAGGUGAGUGGAAUUCCGAGUGUAGAGGUGAAAUUCGUAGAUAUUCGGAGGAACACCAGUGGCGAAGGCGGCUCACUGGACCGGUAUUGACGCUGAGGUGCGAAAGCGUGGGGAGCAAACAGG
RNAcentral lists this ribosomal RNA (253 nucleotides) under uncultured bacterium. RNAcentral describes it as "partial 16S ribosomal RNA". It matches the Rfam family "Bacterial small subunit ribosomal RNA", at positions 524 to 776 of the family's 1533-position model. The record is from RNAcentral.